GCAGCCAUCUUACAAAAAGCGUUAAAGCUUCAUUGUUUUUUAUCAAAAAAUACCAUUAAUUAACUGUAACCCUUCACCUGUACUGAAUGAUCUCAUAGUUAUAUGAGAGCCUAUAUGUUAGAACUAGUAACAAGAAGAAGCCCUUCUCCAAAAUGUAAGCGUAAGCCAAAAUGAACUAUUCAUUGGCAUUUAAAGUUAUAAACCCAUUGUAGCAACUUAACAAGAAAAACCUACAACUGAUAACGUCAACCUUACACAAGCACAUUUCUGGAAAGAUAAAAAGAAUAGGAAGGAACUCGGCAAACAACUAACCCCGCCUGUUUACCAAAAACAUCGCCUCCUGAUCACCCAUAGGAGGUCCAGCCUGCCCAGUGACUAAGUUAAACGGCCGCGGUACCCUAACCGUGCAAAGGUAGCGCAAUCACUUGUUCUUUAAAUGAGGACUAGUAUGAACGGCAUCACGAGGGUUAUGCUGUCUCCCUACUCUACUCAGUGAAACUGAUCUCCCCGUGAAGAAGCGGGGAUAAAAAUAUAAGACGAGAAGACCCCAUGGAGCUUUAAACUCAGUACCAACUGCCCAAAUAAGAACCUAUUAUACUUGCAGCUAUGGUUACUAGUUUUCGGUUGGGGUGACCACGGAGUAAAAUUAAACCUCCACGAUGAAAGGAACUAAUAACCUAACCUAUGAGCUACAGCUCUAAGUAUCAACAAAUUGACUAAUUGACCCAAUUACUUGAUCAACGAACCAAGUUACCCUGGGGAUAACAGCGCAAUCCAUUUCAAGAGCUCAUAUCGACAAAUGGGUUUACGACCUCGAUGUUGGAUCAGGGUAUCCCAGUGGCGCAGCCGCUACUAACGGUUC
Molecule: ribosomal RNA, 862 nt
Filed under: Microhyla fissipes (ornate chorus frog)
Lineage: Eukaryota; Metazoa; Chordata; Amphibia; Anura; Microhylidae
Description: partial large subunit ribosomal RNA
Rfam family: Bacterial large subunit ribosomal RNA
Source: RNAcentral